Molecule: long non-coding RNA, 1042 nt
Organism: Melopsittacus undulatus (budgerigar)
Lineage: Eukaryota; Metazoa; Chordata; Aves; Psittaciformes; Psittaculidae
Exons: 2
Source: RefSeq, a predicted model, not a curated record
UCCUCCCGCACUGCCCAUGCCCUGCGCCCCGGCCCGCAGGAACCCGAAGCCCGGCACUGUUCUGAUGGCGGCCGCCGGCCCGGCCCUCCAUAGGCUUCCCGCGAGGGCUCCCGCGCCACCGGGCCGGGCCCGCGGGGCUGCACAGCGCUGGGCGGAGCGAAUCCUGCAGGAAGCUGCCUCCGACCCGAGGUGAGGAGGGACCGAGCCCCGGGGACCUCAGGCACUUGCUGAGGCCACGGCUGGGCCCCUCUCGCAGUGCUCAGUACAGGCUGGGGGAGCCGGGGGCCCCGCUGGGAGCCUGCUGUGUCCGACACAGAGCCGGUGCUGCUGGUUAGGGUGUGCCAGGGGUAGACGACCGGGCCCUGGCUGGUGGGGUGGCUGGGGCCUUUGGCUGGUGCUGCUGGAACACGGUCCGUGGGGGUGGGAGUCUGCUCCCGAGGGGGCGACGCGUCAGUGUUUCCCAGUACUCGGUGGGUUGUGGAGCCUGGGAAGCCACUGCCUGUCCGAGCAGAGAAGAUGGAGACUUGGCUGCUGGCCUGGGAGCUUCCCACGACAUCCUGCCUGCCAAGGUCCCUGAGGGCUUGACCAGUGCUUGAAUCUGCAGAGCCCUGCUGGACAUGGUACUUGGAGCAGAGCAACACAAGGAUUGAAGCUGUUCCCCAGCACAUCAGCCUGCAUUUGUCAUUGCUGAACUCCAGCUGCUGCUCUCUACACAUCCAUUGAACCAGCAGAGAGUGAAGGAGCUCUAUGGGACAAACCUCCACGUUACAAACUUCUUUACCAGGAUCUAGGACAAGCCUCAAGUUUACCUCCAUGUUAUACCAGAACCCCUUUAUGCCCCAGUUCUCCAUUUCCUCUCUUUGGUGUGAACUCAAAAGCCAGUGUGAUCUCUUCUUUUAUAGCAAAACAAAAAAAGUUCCAUAAAGCUCUUAGCAAAAGAUUGUUUUGUUCUACACCAUCCUGGUGAAUCACCUCACUUGGUUCUCCUUUAUUACCCUCCUGUCAUGGUCAAACAAUGCUAGUAAAAUAAAGACGUUUUUAA